This is a long non-coding RNA of Epinephelus fuscoguttatus (brown-marbled grouper), 1839 nucleotides long. RefSeq lists it as uncharacterized. The record is from RefSeq and is a predicted model, not a curated record. Lineage: Eukaryota; Metazoa; Chordata; Actinopteri; Perciformes; Serranidae. The transcript is spliced from 2 exons.
CCUUGCAUGAUUGUUUAUUUCUCUUUUUCUCAGUUAUCUUCAACAUUAGUAGUGUUGUGUAACAUCUGAUAUUCAGUGUGUGAUAAUCUUACUUUCACAACAGAGGCUUUUUACUGGGAAACAUGGUUUUUAGUUUUCACCAGUAGUCUUACAGUCUGUGUCUUGUCUCUUUUCAACCAGUCAGCGUGUUGAAACCACUUGAUCUAGUUGGGUGUAGCAGCUUUUCCUUUUACCACAAGUCGGUCCUUACAGAUCUCUCUAAGCUGUGUAACCUUAACUCAUACUGUAAAUUUGGGAAAUGUUGCUUGCAUAUCCUGGGCUGAUGUUUGUGCUCUUUCUUAUAUUUACCAUAAUCCUUCCUGAUGUCUAUUAUUUAUAUUGGAUUCACAGUUGGUUUGGAGCUUUGUCCAGCAGCUGCAGCGUCGCUUUAUGUCUUUAACGUCUUCGUCAGUGUGAGGGAGGUGGCCUUCUCUGGGCUGAGACUUAAACCUCUUUCUGUCUGCCAGCAGUGAAUCUUAGGCAUCUGCUCCCACAGCCAGGAUCCUAUCAUUCUGCACCCACGUUGGGGGAAGACCCCUGCCCUUGGUCUCACCCACAUGCUCAUCUGUGUCUCCUUCACCUCUCUCUACAAUCCACCCCUCUAUAUCUGCAGACAGCUGCUGCCUCCCAGCCACAGCUCAGUAAACUACUUAAAUCUCUGUGCCGAGGUUAUUAAAGUGUGGAGAUGUCUCUCAUUAGACAGGGGUGUAAAUCUGCUGGCAUCCCAUAAACUGCACAACCACUGCCACUGAUGUAAACACCCCUCCAUGUCUGCACACAAGUGUAUUCACUUACAGACAUUGGCCUGUAUUUAUAUGGGUGCACCACAAAGGAAAUUAAAGCUUUCAUUCCACAAAGUGAGAUGAUCUUGUUGGAAAAAAAUGCUAUUUGUAAUUAAAUAUUGAGUUUCUGGUAACACUUUAGCUUAAGUUCCCCUGCUUUGCAUAUAAAGAAAUAUAGAAACAUAUGAAGAAUAGUUUAUAACACUAUGUGGUUGUCAGCUGAUAUUUAAGUGUUUAUUAAUGUACUUGUAAACAACUAUAACUCCUCUUGUGGCCGCCCAUAAUGGCUGACUGGUGCAUAAACAGAUCAUAAAUAAAAACAUAGCUGUAACAUAACCUAGCAAAUUUCACAAGAAAUUUUGACGGGUGCCUACUACCGCCACCGAGUACUAUUGAUAGCAGUAGCUCAGUCAUUGAUAUGUACUGCAAACUACAUAUACACAGUACAUGUACUACAGGUACUGAGCACUAUGUGGUUACAAUAUUGUAUGUAUGUACAAUACAUUACAAUUACGGAUGUUUCUGGCGACUAAAUGAAAAUUUUAAGUUCAACUAGUCGACUAGUCAGGCAGCUGAUUUAAUGGAGUUGAAACUUCUCAAACACAACAUAUGGAUACCACCAGAGAGACGUAAUUCUCUUGGAUGUGUAGAUGUAUUUUUUAUGUAUGUGGUGUCAAAAAUGUGAUCAUGGCAGCAGGUUAGAAAUCUGGUGCCUCCCAACUCUUUUCAAGAAAUUUCUCAUCUCAGUUUACAUAGGAGUGAAUGUGAAAAAAAAUGUCUCUCCCUUUGCUUGGAGGCUCACUGAGCCAAAUGUGUAACUGUGUGUGAUUCCAUAGUAACAUUUCUGCGACCAGCACAAAUGUCCCUGCGUUUUGAUGUAUAGAUUGUUUAUGUAGAAUGGAAACUGUGGGCAUGACAGUGAACUAAGUGCAUUUUUUAAAAAAUAUUUUUGAGCCCCUCUUCACUCUAGCUCUAAAACAUUCCGUGUGUGUGUGUGUGUGUGUGUGUGUGUCUUUGU